UCGACGCAUGUGCAACCCACGGCGCCCCUGAGAGUUCUUACACACUACAACGCGCAGGACUGACAAAAUGCCAGAGAACUGUAGUGCUUUAGGAUGUACUAACAGAUAUGGAGAUAAGGCUGGUUUAACUUUUCACCGCUUUUCGGUGUACCCAAAAACAUGAGAAAAUGGAGGCGGUCCUGUUGUGUCAGGAGACUGGGAGUUAUACCUGCACCUACUCAGAUCCUGAUUACUAUAUAAGAGAACUGAUGCAGCCAAUUUUCUCUCUUUCCCUCCCUCCUUCCAUCCAUCAGGCUGGACAUUUGGGUUUUGUUUUGGGUGUGGUUAGUCUUAUUUUUAUUUAAUCAUUUACAAUACCUUUCCUCUCAUUCACACACUCACUACACUACUGACUUACAUAAUUUUAACUGGUUUUCAUGUUUGUUUUAAUAUUAGUUAAAUAAAAUUAGGUUAUAUGCUAA
Neoarius graeffei (lesser salmon catfish) is the source of this 461-nucleotide long non-coding RNA. RefSeq lists it as uncharacterized. The transcript is spliced from 2 exons. Lineage: Eukaryota; Metazoa; Chordata; Actinopteri; Siluriformes; Ariidae. The record is from RefSeq and is a predicted model, not a curated record.